GGAAAUAAAACACGAACUAUGUAUAUCGAAAUAUUUUCAAAUGACCUAUGUGUAAAUAUAUUCAGAUGUUGGACUUGCCGAAUUUUAUGAACUAUAUAUGUGGUGAUGGUUACCAAAAAAAAACUUAACAAUGGAACUACUGGAUUUACAAUAGCAUAAAUGAAGAAGGAUUAUCGUAUUUUCCGAACUUUCGUUCUUAUUGCGAGGGAAGGAAUAAUGUUACACAAUUGGUAACAUUAAUUAAUUAUCAAGGAGUAUUAAUUAGGAAAUUUAUUAAAAAGGAAAUAAACAAUUCAAUGACAAUCAUGUAUGCUUUGGACACUAAUAACCAUCUGUGAAUACAUUAAAUAGCAGAAAGCCUUUGGACACUAAUAACAAUCUGUGAAUACAUUAAAUAGCAGAAAGCCUUUGGACACUAAUAACAAUCUGUUCGUAUAUUAUGGACAUAUAUACCCCGAAGCCCAUAAAUGACCAUGUUUACUUUAAAAUAACAUUUAUCCGUCAGGGGUUAAUUACAUUAUUUGACAAUUAACCUCAUGUAAAUAGUACUCGAUAACCGGACGAUUAUACAACCGGCC
This 578-nucleotide long non-coding RNA is filed under the name Mytilus galloprovincialis (Mediterranean mussel). Lineage: Eukaryota; Metazoa; Mollusca; Bivalvia; Mytilida; Mytilidae. The record is from RNAcentral.